GUCAUCGCACCCCCUAAAGUCGUGAUUAGACCUAGCUCUUGCCCUAAACCCAGCACACAGGUCUCUAACAUCUCUAGGCAUAAUAUCAAACACCCUGAUACGAGAUCCCAAAAUUUGUCUCUUGGCCAAUAUUCGAGAGUCUUCAGAAAUCCCGCAAGUUUACACACUGCGGAAAACUCUCGAAACAGAUCACAAAUAUAGCAGUUCACACAGAGUUAGAU
This 221-nucleotide long non-coding RNA is filed under the name Brassica napus (rape). Its description in RNAcentral is "long non-coding RNA (BNAP_LNC011435)". The record is from RNAcentral. Lineage: Eukaryota; Viridiplantae; Streptophyta; Magnoliopsida; Brassicales; Brassicaceae.